UCAUGGUCGGCGCUCGCUCCGAGGAGUGGG
RNAcentral lists this small RNA (30 nucleotides) under Bombyx mori (domestic silkworm). RNAcentral describes it as "piRNA piR-bmo-1704566". Lineage: Eukaryota; Metazoa; Arthropoda; Insecta; Lepidoptera; Bombycidae. The record is from RNAcentral.